GCAUGGUGGCUCACGCCUGUAAUCCCAGCACUUUGGGAGGCCAAGGCAGGUGGAUCACUUGAGGUCAGGAGUUCAAGACCAGCUGGCAAACAGGGUGAAACCCUGUCUCUACC
Molecule: non-coding RNA, 113 nt
Filed under: Oxyrrhis marina
Lineage: Eukaryota; Dinophyceae; Oxyrrhinales; Oxyrrhinaceae
Source: RNAcentral